AUUCCCUUUGAAAAUCUAUGAAACUGUCUUUUUAAACAGACUUCUGUGCAAAUGUUUUAAAAUUUUACCCUCAUAGAUUCCUUUUUACUUGUAGGGGGAAAAAAAAAUAACAAUGGCUCAAAUAAACUUUGUUCCUAUUUCCUACACUCUCCAUAACUUUUUGCUCCCAAGGUAAAAGGAAUCCUAAGGUAGUGAGACAUUCAUUAGGUUGAUAGUUUUCCCAUUUUUAAAAGAAGAGCUCUUAUGUAAUCACGUCACUCAGAAAGAUCCU
Molecule: long non-coding RNA, 271 nt
Filed under: Bos taurus (domestic cattle)
Lineage: Eukaryota; Metazoa; Chordata; Mammalia; Artiodactyla; Bovidae
Description: long non-coding RNA NONBTAT019744
Source: RNAcentral